Molecule: non-coding RNA, 685 nt
Organism: Arachis ipaensis
Lineage: Eukaryota; Viridiplantae; Streptophyta; Magnoliopsida; Fabales; Fabaceae
Source: RefSeq, a predicted model, not a curated record
GAGCACAGGAUGUCAGGAAACAGCUUCUCACCAUCAUGGAUAAAAUAAAUCUUGUCAUUGGUCCUCUGCAUAUAAUUUGCUGGCCAGAUUGAAUUAGGUUCUGAAAUCUGAAUCAUCAUCUCUGAUAUGCAGCUACAAAUUGGAUGUUGUAAGUGUUGGAAAAUUUUUUACCAAGAUCAGAAAGGCGAUCACCGCAGGAUUCUUUUUCCAUGCAGCAAGGAAGGAUCCCCAGGAAGGCUACAGAACCCUUGUUGAGAACCAGCCUGUAUAUAUCCAUCCAAGUUCAGCUUUGUUCCAGAGACAACCUGGUUGGGUCAUCUACCAUGAACUUGUUAUGACUACUAAGGAUCAAUAUAUGCGUGAGGUCAUAGUGAUAGAUCCUAAAUGGCUUGUUGGAUUGAACCACUUUAUGACAGAUAUCAUGAGCUCAUGAGCCAAAUUCAUGGUGCUUGAUAUUCAAUCCAUCUUCUUCCUCUUGAUGCAAUGUAUUGCUUAGUGUUUACACUACAUUGUAUGAUGAUGCAGGUGUAAAUUUUGACCCUUAAUUUGUAUUAACUGUAAAUGAUGUAUAUAGGCAGAUUUACUAAGUUGUAAAUUUUAUGGGUUCCUAAAUCAAAGUCUAAGUUGUAAAUUAUGUUUGGGUAAAUUCAUGUUUAAAGCAGAAAGCUGAAGUUGAAUCCUGCAA